UAUCAGACAAGAGAUAGGAGUGGG
Molecule: non-coding RNA, 24 nt
Filed under: Mus musculus (house mouse)
Lineage: Eukaryota; Metazoa; Chordata; Mammalia; Rodentia; Muridae
Source: RNAcentral